ACUCAAAUGAAUUGACGGGGGCCCGCACAAGCAGCGGAGCGUGUGGUUUAAUUCGAGGCUACACGAAGCACCUUACCUGGACUUGACAUGCGUGUGAACGAGGCGGAAACGCCGAGGGCCGCAAGGCACACGCACAGGUGCUGCAUGGCUGUCGUCAGCUCGUGCCGUGAGGUGUUAGGUUAAGUCCUGUAACGAGCGCAACCCCUGGGUCCAGUUACACGCUGUCUGGACCGACUGCCCGCGACAAGCGGGAGGAAGGUGGGGAUGAUGUCAAGUCAGCAUGGCCUUUAUGUCCAGGGCUACACACACGCUACAAUGGCCGGUACAAUGGGUCGCCAAGCCGCAAGGCGCAGCCAAUCCUAUCAAAGCCGGUCUCAGUUCGGAUUGUGGGCUGCAACCCGCCCACAUGAAGUCGGAGUUGCUAGUAACCGCGCGUCAGCCAUAGUGCGGUGAAUACGUUCCCGGGCCUUGUACACACCGCCCGU
This 485-nucleotide ribosomal RNA is filed under the name uncultured bacterium. Its description in RNAcentral is "partial 16S ribosomal RNA". It matches the Rfam family "Bacterial small subunit ribosomal RNA", at positions 899 to 1397 of the family's 1533-position model. The record is from RNAcentral.